AGAAAAAUGUUGAAGAAAAUAUGCUUAUCAGGGAGAGUAUACAUAAAAUCCACAGGCAAAUGAAUGUCAAUAGCAAAACAGUUACUGCAGCACAACAGUUACUAAUAAGCAAAACAGUUACUGCUGAAAGUCUGUCAAUGAAAUCAUAUGGUGGUUACAAUAAAAGGCGUAGUAAUCUCAUUCUUUUUGCUAGGUAAACUGCUUUGAAAACCUUUUGCUGGAAAGAAGUAUAACAGCUUUUCCUUUGAAAUGUAUAUCAGUGCCGAUAACCAACAGGGUAUUGUGUCCCCACACUGAAUUUUGUGAAAUUUUUGCUUUCUGUGAAAUGGCGAGUGCUGGUGCGGUCUUAGGAUGAAGGGUGCAAUAAACAUGCAAUUAAUUACUAAAUUAGUUUGGAUUGAAGCAAAAGGAUGCUGCAAAUACAGCCUCCCUGUGUCAUAGCAAGCAGAUGGCAGGAUCAACUGGGACUUCAACUAAGGAAUCUCCGGGUCAGCAUUCUGGUACCACUUAAAGUGAGAUAUCACACACUAAGACUACAGAGGAGAAGAAGAAGGAAGGGGUAUGGAGAUCCCAGGUCACAGCAAGGAUUUCUCCCUCCAAAGGUCCCACUUGGCUGGGUCAGGCGAUAAAUGCUUGGAGGCCAGAGCCUUUCACAGCUAAUUUCUGGCCUUACCUAUGUGGCUUCCUAAUCUUGUCCUUGGUGCCUCUGUUUGUCAGCCUGUUUGUUGCUCCUCUUUCUCACUAUCCAUUAUCCAGUUUGCCAGCUUUUGUAUCUGCCCACUGCUACUAAGUUCUAACCUUCUGAAAAUCCUUCUGUUGGCCUUCACAGCACUUGACUAUACUUCUGGACUAAUUCUUUUGUAGACCUUCCCAGUGCUCCAUCACACUCUCUUGCAGCUGUGGAAUGUCUCUGCCUUGCAGUCUGGCAACCUUACCAAAUCUUAAGUACUAUGUGACAUUUUGCCGCAGACCUCAAUAUGCAGUUUUAAACAGCCCAUAAAAGGGAAAAGAUUAACACUGAGUGAUAGAGGGAGAGUGAAGCUUGUGGGCUGUGGAAAAAAACACCUACUGAUUUAAUUUCUAUGGUCAGCAUGAAUUGAGUCAAGAACUAAGAAAAUAUUUUCACAAAUUUUUGUAUUGAUUUUAUUACUUGGAUUUACCUUAGAUUUGUCUUUUAAGGCCAAGGUUAUCCAGAAGUCAGACAAAUAGUAAAUAAAUUUCAGAUGCGGUUAAAAAAAACCCACCCACAUAAUAAAUAUGUCAGGCAAGCUCUAUUGGUAGCAAUAUUGAGAGUGAAUCCAUUUCUCUCAGAGUUGCAACAAUAUUAAUUGUUUAUUGCAUUGCAAACAGGAGCUGCUGUAAAGGGUUAGGUAUCCAACAAAAGCACAUCUGUAUUAUUGAUUUAUUUUAUGAAGUAGCAGUAACAAUGUGAAAGAGAACACCAGAGAGACAAACUGACUAUGAAUCAUGUAGUAUAUGAAAAGGAUGGAAGAAGACUGCUAUGAGCCAUAGGCAAAGGGGGAGAAUGAUGUAUGAUUUGAAAGGCCUGUACUGAUUCAGAUGGAUACUGCUACGACUGUAUUAUUACUUCUACUACCCAUAAUAAUAACAACAUGGCAUUAUAUACUAUAUUUCAAGUGCUCAAAACACUUCACAUACAUCAGCUUACUAAUUCUUAAACAUCCCUAAAAGGUAGGCCAAUACUAUUAUCCUCAUAUUGUAAACGGAUCUCAGAGAAAUAACAAAUUGCCUAUUGAGUUAACAACUGAGAUGAAAUAAAAAGUGGACUUUU
Molecule: long non-coding RNA, 1792 nt
Organism: Hemicordylus capensis (graceful crag lizard)
Lineage: Eukaryota; Metazoa; Chordata; Lepidosauria; Squamata; Cordylidae
Exons: 3
Source: RefSeq, a predicted model, not a curated record